UGUGUGUGUGUGUGUGUGUGUGUGUGUGUUCCUCCAGAGUUCAGUCCUCAGUGACUCUGAUGAACUCCUGUACGGUCGCGCUGGCUUCCUGUUCGCUCUGCUGUACGUCAACAGAGAGAUGGGAGAGAACACGGUGGAGGAGAGCACCAUCACUCAGAACUGAUCUCCGUUUGGACACAACUGUCAUCCCUCCGUAGAUUCUACGCAGCCCGGAGGCAAUCUUUUUCACCGUCCCACCAGCGAGGCGGCGGCGGAAGGAGAGGAGACAGAAGCGUGGUGUUCCAGGAGGAGAAGUACCUGAAGGAGGCAUCAGACUGCUCGGAGGUGAUCUGGCAGAGAGGUUUCCUGAGGAAAGGAUACGGACUCUGCCACGGCACGGCAGGGAACGGAUUCAUCUUCCUGUCCCUGUACCGGAGGACGAAGGAGAGGAAGCACCUGUACAGGGCC
Long non-coding RNA from Trematomus bernacchii (emerald rockcod), 447 nucleotides. RefSeq lists it as uncharacterized. NCBI's taxonomy places the organism in Eukaryota, Metazoa, Chordata, Actinopteri, Perciformes, Nototheniidae. The transcript has 3 exons. The record is from RefSeq and is a predicted model, not a curated record.